UCCUGAUCCCAGAGUGAUGCUUAAAAGUUAACUUCCAGUGUGUACACAAAAAGGAACUUUCCUAAGUUCUGAGCUUGGAAAAGAAUUGAAAAUAAGAAACAAGCUUGAGAUAUUUCCUCUUUAACAGUGGUUUCACUGAGCCACAGAUGGACUUUACCUCCUGAUGCUGGGACAUCGAGAUGGGGGAGACAGAACUCACACCAGCUAUUUGUAUUCUUAUGUGCUGCAGCUCCACUGAAAAGAAAAACCUACUAAAACAUUGUGAUUCAGAGCAAUUUCACGUUUCCUGACACUGUCAGUUAUAGUCACAUUUACUCAUCACCUCAUGCCUGUGAAUAAGGAAUCACUGCCUGGCAAGAUGGCUGUGCUGUUCCACAGGCUACCUACAGCUACAGAAUCAUUCUGCUGGGAAGACCUGGAACCAUCUGAACCAGAGAUGUUAUCCUAACAUUUGUGCCAGCAGAUCCCUACUGAAGCCAAAGGUCCUUCACUGGUGCAUAUCUUUUCAUUUCGCUUUAUGAGAACGUAUAUUAUCAAGCCAAUAUAGGUGGCUAAUCUUCUUUCUAUACUGUAUUUACUGAAACUAUUAUGUAGUGAUUUUUUUUCUUCUGUAAACAUGCAACUAAGAAUAUAAGCUUAGCAACCAGCCUGUAAUUAAAAUAUUGAAUUGCCAACAUAAAUUCGGCAUUCAAAAUCAAUAUAAAUCCAAAGUCCAGCGAUUCCUGACAGAAUUGUAUUAAUUUAAUAAACAGAAAACAUUGUGUCAAUCUUAUAGCUAUGGUACAUUAGAACAACCCACUUGCACACUGAUAAGCCACACCAG
Pogona vitticeps (central bearded dragon) is the source of this 823-nucleotide non-coding RNA. Lineage: Eukaryota; Metazoa; Chordata; Lepidosauria; Squamata; Agamidae. The record is from RefSeq and is a predicted model, not a curated record.